GCCCACCACCAUACCAUCCAGAACGCACCUGAUCCCAUCUGAUCUUCAAAGCUAAGCAGAACGGCUCAGCACGCACUCACUCUGUACCAGGUGUGGGUC
RNAcentral lists this ribosomal RNA (99 nucleotides) under Mesocricetus auratus (golden hamster). Lineage: Eukaryota; Metazoa; Chordata; Mammalia; Rodentia; Cricetidae. The record is from RNAcentral.